UACGGGGGGAGCAAGCGUUGCUCGGAAUUACUGGGCGUAAAGGGCUCGUAGGCGGCCAACUAAGUCAGACGUGAAAUCCCUCGGCUUAACUGGGGAACUGCGUGUGAUACUGGAAGGCUUGAAUCCGGGAGAGGGAUGCGGAAUUCCAGGUGUAGCGGUGAAAUGCGUAGAUAUCUGGAGGAACACCGGUGGCGAAGGCGGCAUCCUGGACCGGCAUUGACGCUGAGGCGCGAAAGCCAGGGGAGCAAACGGG
This 253-nucleotide ribosomal RNA is filed under the name uncultured bacterium. RNAcentral describes it as "partial 16S ribosomal RNA". It matches the Rfam family "Bacterial small subunit ribosomal RNA", at positions 524 to 776 of the family's 1533-position model. The record is from RNAcentral.